RNAcentral lists this ribosomal RNA (405 nucleotides) under uncultured bacterium. Its description in RNAcentral is "partial 16S ribosomal RNA". It matches the Rfam family "Bacterial small subunit ribosomal RNA", at positions 30 to 526 of the family's 1533-position model. The record is from RNAcentral.
AUUGAACGCUGGCGGCAGGCUUAACACAUGCAAGUCGAACGAGUGGCGGACGGGUGAGUAAUGCCUGGGAAACUGGCUGAUGGAGGGGGAUGACGACGGGAAACUGUCGCUAAUACCGCGUACCAUCGGAUGAGCCCAAAUGGGAUUAGGUAGUUGGUGGGGUAAUGGCCUACCAAGCCGACGAACUCUAGCUGGUCUGAGAGGAUGACCCGCCACACUGGGACUGAGACACGGCCCAGACUCCUACGGGAGGCAGCAGUGGGGAAUAUUGCACAAUGGGGGCAACCUGACGCAGCCAUGCCGCGUGAAUGAAGAAGGCCUUCGGGUUGUAAAGUUCUUUCGGUGGCGAGGCGUUAAUCACAGAAGAAGCACCGGCUAACUCCGUGCCAGCCGCCGCGGUAAUAC